RNAcentral lists this ribosomal RNA (366 nucleotides) under uncultured Leptolinea sp. Its description in RNAcentral is "bacterial SSU rRNA". It matches the Rfam family "Bacterial small subunit ribosomal RNA", at positions 1001 to 1382 of the family's 1533-position model. The record is from RNAcentral. Lineage: Bacteria; Bacillati; Chloroflexota; Anaerolineae; Anaerolineales; Anaerolineaceae.
CCGAAAGGUGACCGACCCUUCGGGGAGCUUGCACAGGUGCUGCAUGGCUGUCGUCAGCUCGUGUCGUGAGAUGUUCGGUUAAGUCCGCUAACGAGCGCAACCCUCGCUGUGUGUUAUAUGUGUCACACGGGACUGCCGGUCUUAAGCCGGAGGAAGGUGGGGAUGAUGUCAAGUCAGCAUGGCCUUUAUAUCCUGGGCUACACACACGCUACAAUGGCCAGCACAGUAGGUUGCUAAGCCGCGAGGUGGAGCCAAUCCAUAAAGCUGGUCUCAGUUCAGAUUGCAGGCUGCAACCCGCCUGCAUGAAGAUGGAGUUGCUAGUAACCGCAGGUCAGCUAUACUGCGGUGAAUACGUUCCCGGGGCUU